This 116-nucleotide ribosomal RNA is filed under the name Escherichia coli. The record is from RNAcentral. Lineage: Bacteria; Pseudomonadati; Pseudomonadota; Gammaproteobacteria; Enterobacterales; Enterobacteriaceae.
UCUGGCGGCAGUAGCGCGGUGGUCCCACCUGACCCCAUGCCGAACUCAGAAGUGAAACGCCGUAGCGCCGAUGGUAGUGUGGGGUUUCCCCAUGCGAGAGUAGGGAACUGCCAGGC